GCCUGUGGCGGUGGCGUAGUGGUAAGCGCUCCGAGGUAACUUCCAAAAGAUGCGGGAUUGGUCACCUUCCUAUUUGGAGGUGGUGGGUUCGAUUCCCAUCGCCGGCA
RNAcentral lists this transfer RNA (107 nucleotides) under Aspergillus niger. Its description in RNAcentral is "tRNA-Gly". The record is from RNAcentral. Lineage: Eukaryota; Fungi; Ascomycota; Eurotiomycetes; Eurotiales; Aspergillaceae.